CAGCGGCCCUGAUCAAGACACAGCUCCACCAAAGCCCUGUUGAGAACAUCUGAUUCACAAAAAUGUCAGAAUUUAGCUCCCCUGGACAUAAAAAAGAAUCUGAUGAAGAAAAGCCAAGUGUUCAGUUUCCAUCAGCUCAUAUACCGAAAGAUGUAACUGACACAAUUGACAGACCAGGAAAUGCCUAUACAAAAAGCAAGUAUGCUCGAGCUGGAAAAUAUGCGGGAACUUUUGAAAACGAACCAGGAAUGAGUAUUCAAAAGGCUGGAGCCUAUGCAGAAGCAGGAGUUGGACAAGCUCGUGCUGAAUUCAGUGCCUUCGAGGCUGAAGCCAAAGGUCCCAACGCCUCAGCUGGAGCUGAAAUUGGUGUGACUGGAGUCGGAGCAAUGGCUCGAGCUGAAAUUGCUAGUGCAUCGGCUAAAGCCGGUCCAGUUGGUGUGAAACUGGGACUUGGAGUUGAUACGGGUGUAUCUGCUGGUCUGGGAGGGGUGGAGGCCAAAGUACUGGGAACUGGAUUCUCAAUUGGUGAAAAAAACAGUGUAUCUCUUCUGGGUUCAGAAGAGUCUUGUGUAGUCAUGUAGUCAUACAGGUAUUAAUUAACUUCAAAUAUUUGCAUGUAGAUUUUUCUGUGGAACCACAAAAUAUGUAUUAUGUAUAAAAUAUGUAUUAAGUAUGCGUAUUGCUUUUCUCUAUACUGUCAUUCCCAGUGUAUAACUGUUAUAAUGUGUUCACUGAACUUUCUAGAGACUUCAGACAUCAUAUUUCCGCAUUUAUGCAAUAAACUGAAAAAUAAAUUAAUGAAUAACAAAAAAAA
This is a long non-coding RNA of Ctenopharyngodon idella (grass carp), 814 nucleotides long. RefSeq lists it as uncharacterized. NCBI's taxonomy places the organism in Eukaryota, Metazoa, Chordata, Actinopteri, Cypriniformes, Xenocyprididae. The record is from RefSeq and is a predicted model, not a curated record. The transcript is spliced from 2 exons.